Molecule: long non-coding RNA, 750 nt
Filed under: Capsicum annuum
Lineage: Eukaryota; Viridiplantae; Streptophyta; Magnoliopsida; Solanales; Solanaceae
Description: long non-coding RNA (CANN_LNC006450)
Source: RNAcentral
GAACACUGAUUGUAAAACUAUCCUAUAUCGAAAAUAAGUCUUAAUUAGCCGCCCUUUGAUGUCUAUAUAAGCCCAGUGUUCUUUAUUUGUAAGACCAAUUGCAGUGCUUGCAAGUCACAACUGCGAGGUGCAGUAUCGAGGUAAUUUCUUUUCCACUUUUUUCUUUUUUUUUGUUUAUUUUGUCUCUUUUUUUUCAAAUUGAUGCAUAUAACAAUAUGCAGCCAUCGACUUAAGGUGCGAGAGUUUAACGUUUCCUCCGUCACCUUGAGAUCCGACCAAUUUUACUUCAAGAUAGUGGCAACGCAAUAAUCGUCUUAGGGUGCGAGAGUUUAACUUCGUCUCUGUCAUCCUAAGAUUCGACCAAUUUUUCUUCAAGAUGGUGACUAUGCAACAAUCGGCUUUGGAUGCGAGAGUUUAACUUCACCUCCAUACACUUUAAGACUGACCAAUUUGACUUCAAGAUGGUGACUUUUCUUCAAGUAUGGUCCCUUUCACCGAUGCUCUUAUACAAUGGUCUUCUUUAAGUAUGGGUCCUUUCACUGAUGCAAUUAUGCAAUGGUCUUCUUUAAGUAUGAGCUCUUUCACCAAUGCAAUUAUGCAAUGGUCUUCUUUAAGUAUGAGCCUUUUCACCGAUGCACUUAUGCAAUGGUCUUCUUUAAAUAUGGGCCCCAAUUAUGCAAUGAUCUUCUUUAAGUAUGAGCCUUUUCACCGAUGCACUUAUGCAAUGGUCUUCUUUAAAUAUAGGCCCCA